RNAcentral lists this ribosomal RNA (429 nucleotides) under bacterium. RNAcentral describes it as "partial 16S ribosomal RNA". It matches the Rfam family "Bacterial small subunit ribosomal RNA", at positions 355 to 776 of the family's 1533-position model. The record is from RNAcentral.
UGGGGAAUUUUGGACAAUGGGCGAAAGCCUGAUCCAGCAAUGCCGCGUGUGUGAAGAAGGCCUUCGGGUUGUAAAGCACUUUUGUCCGGAAAGAAAACGCCGUGGUUAUUACCCGUGGCGGAUGACGGUACCGGAAGAAUAAGCACCGGCUAACUACGUGCUAGCAGCCGCGGUAAUACGUAGGGUGCAAGCGUUAAUCGGAAUUACUGGGCGUAAAGCGUGCGCAGGCGGUCCGCUAAGACAGAUGUGAAAUCCCCGGGCUUAACCUGGGAACUGCAUUUGUGACUGGCGGGCUAGAGUAUGGCAGAGGGGGGUAGAAUUCCACGUGUAGCAGUGAAAUGCGUAGAGAUGUGGAGGAAUACCGAUGGCGAAGGCAGCCCCCUGGGCCAAUACUGACGCUCAUGCACGAAAGCGUGGGGAGCAAACAGG